Molecule: non-coding RNA, 93 nt
Organism: Conoideocrella luteorostrata
Lineage: Eukaryota; Fungi; Ascomycota; Sordariomycetes; Hypocreales; Clavicipitaceae
Source: the annotation of a GenBank genome assembly
GUUCGUAUGACGCAGCGGUAGCGUGUAGGAUUGCAAUUCUGUAAAAUAGAACCUUAAAUCCUGAAGUCCUGAGUUCGAACCUCAGUGCGAACU